CUACGGGUCGCUCCAGUGGGGAAUAUUGCACAAUGGGCGCAAGCCUGAUGCAGCAACGCCGCGUGAACGAAGAAGGUCUUCGGAUCGUAAAGUUCUUUUCUUAGGGAAGAAAAAUGACGGUACCUAAGGAAUAAGCACCGGCUAAAUACGUGCCAGCAGCCGCGGUAAUACGUAUGGUGCAAGCGUUAUCCGGAAUCACUGGGCGUAAAGGGAGCGUAGGCGGUUUUGCAAGUCAGAAGUGAAAGGCUACGGCUCAACCGUGGUAAGCUUUUGAAACUGCAAGACUAGAGUGCAGGAGAGGCAAGUGGAAUUCCUAGUGUAGAGGUGAAAUUCGUAGAUAUUAGGAGGAACACCAGUGGCGAAGGCGACUUGCUGGACUGUAACUGACGCUGAGGCUCGAAAGCGUGGGGAGCGAACAGGAUUAGAUACCCUAGUAGUC
RNAcentral lists this ribosomal RNA (439 nucleotides) under uncultured bacterium. Its description in RNAcentral is "partial 16S ribosomal RNA". It matches the Rfam family "Bacterial small subunit ribosomal RNA", at positions 339 to 795 of the family's 1533-position model. The record is from RNAcentral.